RNAcentral lists this ribosomal RNA (257 nucleotides) under uncultured bacterium. RNAcentral describes it as "partial 16S ribosomal RNA". It matches the Rfam family "Bacterial small subunit ribosomal RNA", at positions 524 to 776 of the family's 1533-position model. The record is from RNAcentral.
GACGGAGGAUGCAAGUGUUAUCCGGAAUCACUGGGUCGUAAAGCGUCUGUAGGUGGUUUAAUAAGUCAACUGUUAAAUUCUUGAGGCUCAACCUCAAAAAUCGCAGUCGAAACUAUUAGGCUAGAGUAUAGUAGGGGUAAAGGGAAUUUCCAGUGGAGCGGUGAAAUGCGUAGAGAUUGGAAAGAACACCGAUGGCGAAGGCACUUUACUGGGCUAUUACUAACACUCAGAGACGGAAAGCUAGGGUAGCAAAUGGG